RNAcentral lists this long non-coding RNA (262 nucleotides) under Bos taurus (domestic cattle). RNAcentral describes it as "long non-coding RNA NONBTAT022578". The record is from RNAcentral. Lineage: Eukaryota; Metazoa; Chordata; Mammalia; Artiodactyla; Bovidae.
CAUUUAUGCUAGGUAACUGUUGCUCAUGAACUAAUAAAAAAAAUCCACACAUGAAGCCAAAAUUUGUGCUUCUUUUUUGAAGAGUAUUUAUUUCUAUAUGAACUUUGCUAAAGAAUUCUACAGUUAAAUCAGAGUCCAAAAUUUGAUGGACUAAGUGUUAUUUUAAAGUAUAAUAUAAGACAGUUAUUCUAUAUAUAGUCUAAAGAGAUCUAAAAGCAUGUUUCUGUUUCCCAUUAAUAUAGCUGAAGUCAAAUGUGCUGUG